Molecule: ribosomal RNA, 233 nt
Filed under: uncultured bacterium
Lineage: Bacteria
Description: partial 16S ribosomal RNA
Rfam family: Bacterial small subunit ribosomal RNA
Source: RNAcentral
UGAGUAACCUGCCCUUCACUCUGGGAUAACUCCGGGGAAACCGGGGCUAAUACUGGAUAUGACUCGAACAGGCAUCUGUUUCGGGUGGAAAGAUUUAUUGGUGGAGGAUGGACUCGCGGCCUAUCAGCUUGUUGGUGAGGUAAUGGCUCACCAAGGCGACGACGGGUAGCCGGCUGAGAGGGCAUCGGCCACACUGGGACUGAGACACGGCCCAGACCUCCGUACGGGGAGCA